Non-coding RNA from Gossypium hirsutum (cotton), 144 nucleotides. The record is from Rfam. NCBI's taxonomy places the organism in Eukaryota, Viridiplantae, Streptophyta, Magnoliopsida, Malvales, Malvaceae.
CAUUAAAAAUUUCAUUUAUUUAUACUGUUAAAAACUAGCAUGACGAAUAAAAUAACUUAAUAAUUACACGUAACAUACCAUGUAUAUCUCAUUCUGACAUACAAAGGCUAGCUUUUAACAGUAAAAUUGAUGACAUUUUUAACA